Long non-coding RNA from Bradysia coprophila, 312 nucleotides. The record is from RefSeq and is a predicted model, not a curated record. Lineage: Eukaryota; Metazoa; Arthropoda; Insecta; Diptera; Sciaridae.
CAGUGAACGUGAUGGAGAAUAUGAAAGUGAUGGAGUAAGUGACACUGAAGAACAGAGCGAGACAAGCGAAAACGAGGAAUCAAACGAAAGUUCCGAUGAAAGUGAAGAUAGCGAAAACUAUACGUAUGACGAGGUGCGAGCAAUUUUGCGCUAUGCAUUAAAAUCAAGUGAGAGUUAAAAAGUUCAGUUUUAUUCGUUUUCCACCAGACUGAGUCGAACAGCUAACUAGGAAAGAAGUAAAAAUCAUUCAGUAUGAACUCAGAACCAAAACCAAUUUUGAAAGUAAAAUCAACAUUUGUGAAAAAUAAAAUG